AGCGAACGCUGGCGGCAGGCUUAACACAUGCAAGUCGAGCGGGCCCUUCGGGGUCAUCGUCAGACGGGUGAGUAACACGUGGGAACGUACCCUUUGGUUCGGAAUAACGCUGGGAAACUAGCGCUAAUACCGGAUACGCCCUUUUGGGGAAAGGCUUGCUGCCGAAGGAUCGUCCCGCGUCUGAUUAGCUAGUUGGUGGGGUAAUGGCCUACCAAGGCGACGAUCAGUAGCUGGUCUGAGAGGAUGAUCAGCCACACUGGGACUGAGACACGGCCCAGACUCCUACGGGAGGCAGCAGUGGGGAAUAUUGGACAAUGGGCGCAAGCAUGAUCCAGCCAUGCCGCGUGAGUGAUGAAGGCCUUAGGGUUGUAAAGCUCUUUUGUCCGGGAAGAUAAUGACGGUACCGGAAGAAUAAGCCCCGGCUAACUUCGUG
Molecule: ribosomal RNA, 433 nt
Filed under: uncultured bacterium
Lineage: Bacteria
Description: partial 16S ribosomal RNA
Rfam family: Bacterial small subunit ribosomal RNA
Source: RNAcentral